This is a long non-coding RNA of Triticum dicoccoides, 3323 nucleotides long. RefSeq lists it as uncharacterized. Lineage: Eukaryota; Viridiplantae; Streptophyta; Magnoliopsida; Poales; Poaceae. The transcript is spliced from 2 exons. The record is from RefSeq and is a predicted model, not a curated record.
UUCCUCGGUGACCAGGGACCGCUCGCUCGCCCCCUCUCUCAUGGCUUAGCCGGCGUUGCACAUGCCCCCGCUGAUUCUUGUUGUUCCCCCCCUCGAAACAUAUGUUCGCAGAUUGAUUGCUGUAUAUUCGUACCAUGGCUGAUGAUUCCUUCUCCUUUUUCCCCUUUGGUUUGAUCGUUCCUGUGAUCCCUUCCAGGCGUCACACCACUGACGACCAUGCCGCCAGCAUGGAUGGCAUCCGUCUCUCGGCCAUCGUUGCAGGUGCGGGCUUCUCGCUCAAAUGUGAUUAACGUGAUGAUUUCCAUCUCCAUGAUUUAAUGCCGCGUGCACCUAGCAAUGUUAGCUCUUAGUUUCUCCUAAUGCGUUACCUCCCAACUCACAUAGCCGGGCAAGCCGCUAGAUGCCUGACUUUCUGAUCUUGACCCAUAUGCCUUUGGGGCGGUGCGCAAUACACUACGGAGCAUGUGGGGAAGAACUGCAGCAUCUAGGAGUUGUUUCAUUACUCAUGGGGACGUGUAUACAUUUCAAUUGGAAGUUCGACGGAGCAGGGUACCCUAUGAUGCAAGAGGAUGACUGUAAAAACAUUCUAUAUCAAAUUAAGUCUUUGGAUCAGGACUAAUCUAUAGCCCAAGGAAGAACUUGAAUUCCAAGGUGAGACGCACCAUGUAUGCUUCCUCCUCGAAUUUAUUUCUUGUUUUUUUCUUGGGGAAUUUCAAUGGGGCAGACACGAUUAAUAACUCUUAUUCAAAUGUGGACGUAUGGUAGUUGAUAUGCUUGACGGCGCCGCUCUGCUGGUCGGGGUCUAUAGUUAUUUAACAGCUUAUUAUGAAUCAUUAGAACUAUAGUAUUUUACCUUGAUGUUGUCGGUUCUACCUUCUAUUAACUAGCCCAGAGGUAGAUUUUGUGUCAGUAUUAUUUAGUUGUUGGUGUUCAGUAUUUUGUUUGGUAGUGGCAGUGCAAAGUUCGUCAUCUUUUUUGUUUGGCAGUACAAAAUAGUGACAUCUUGAUGUUGAUGCAAGAUUGUUUUCAGCUAGACCUCUUUGAUUUGUCAUCAUUAUUCUAGGAAUCGAAGAUGAUAUUUUAUACAUUUCAAUUGCAUAUGCAAUGCAUCAAAUUUCAUAGAAACUAGAGAUAAUUUGCCCCUAUCGGUUUGUGUAUUGUUUUUUCAGUUAUAAGUUGGCUAGCCUAUGUUGCAACAGAAAAAAUGCUGACAAAUACACUGAUAUCCAGGGGAAGGUAGGAUCUUAACGGAAUUAUGUUCAUAUAUAAAAUGGACUAUUCCCAGUAAUACAUUUAAUAAUUCCGCAGGAGUAGAUAUUGUGUGAAGGAAAUAAGUUCCUAAGAAGGAAAGUAAAUCCCCUUGUGUUAUUCUCCUCAGGAAGAUAUAAGCUUAACUAUGGCAAUUUUUGCACACACCUGUCUGAACUUAGAUACUGCAGAGAGCAUGCAAUCUGGUUCUCUUUUUUUAAAAAGUUAAAGCCAUGUACUUGCUUAUGAAUGUUCCUGUUGUUUCAAACCCAUAAACUUAAUAUUGUGCUUUCAGGUUUAGGAUUCCCACUGAGUAAAAGUCAAUCCUACUUAAUGUUGCAAUAUAUGUUCAACAUUAAGGAAAAUGCAUUUUGUUUGAUCUAUGUAUGCUGUUUGAUUAGCACCUGAAAUCUUGUUAAAGCAUAUCCAUUUCCUUGCCAUUUUUUCAGACUGUCGCUCACGUUUCACAUUGCUUUCUUUAGUUAGCUCAAAUAGGAAAAAAUUCACAUUCUAAUAUUACAAUAUAUCUUAACUUCCUGUCACACAUGGAAAUCUUUCCUCCAUAGAUAACUUGGUUUGAUGCAAUACGUUCUUACACUAAUCGUCUAAUAUAUCUUGCUAUGGAUUGGAGAAUGGCGAGCCCAGCAAUACCAGAAACGCCAUGGUGUUAGAGUAUAAGCAGGGGCGUAUAGGUGAUGUAGGCAUAUGGAUGUAGGAUCACCGUCCACAGGUGACGUAGGUGGCGAUGAUGACCAACUUAGCCAGGUACUUGAGCAAACUUUCCCAUAAACAUGUACUCUCCCGACUUCAAUCAAUCCGACUCAGUCUUGAGAGAGUACACAUAAUGUAGGUCGGUUGUUGAGAGCAGCAUGUUCGUACAUGAGGAAUUUGAUUUAUCGGCUUCAGGUUUUGUACGUACAGUAUGUGCUAAGAAUUUUUAUGGGUAAGGUAAUCAAUCUUAGGAGAGAAAGGAUUGUUGGCAUUUUUAUGGGUAAUCAAUCUUAUGGGAAAGAACUGAUUUUUGUCUCUACUGAACAGUAGCACUCUUAACCUAUUUGAACAGAAAAUUUCAUGAACAUAAAAGCAGUAGUGACUUGACCAUGCAAUAAGCUAAAUUGUUAUUAUGGUUUUUGUUGUAACAAGUUGAAGUUAUUCAAAUGAAAAGUUGAAGUUUCUGUUAGCAGCAUCAACUUCUUUUGAGAUGUCAGAAAAAACUUCAGUUCAAGAUGUAGGAACAAUCAGCCAGCUUAACUGUCAGCCUAAAACUAUUCUCUGUUGCAGUUCAGUUAUGUCAAGCUAUUAUAAUUCCCUCAGCAUGUGCAUUCAAGCAUUCCACUAAUUUGCACAUUGAAUUGCAAAUGUAAUUAAAUGAGGUAGGGUAUGGAGGGUGCUUGUCAGGGAGGCGUGCAUCCGCUUCUUUGGGUGGGAUGCCAACUAUAGCAGCUUUGGGACGAUGCCCUUGGUGGUGAGGUGUGCAUGCACCGCUUGGUAAUGAGUCGCCAACAACAUUGGGCAGGGGCUUUAGGUUUGGCGUCUGCACUACACUGCCGCGGUGGUGACGAUGUUGAGUGCCUCAAUGGUGUGUGUGCGCGUGUGUGUGGAUGACAUUCCAGUUGAAAACGUACUAAUUCAUGAUGUACCGGCUGAGAUUAUCUACACUCCAACUCAGGUCAUCUUAAAAAAAGACUACAUUCCCAAAGCCAAUUAUGUAGUAAAAAACACUCAGAAGCUUUUGAUUUUGUUUACUCUGCUCUUCUUGCAUAAUUUAAGUUUUGGACCCAAUUCCUGAGCAAAGAAUGCUAGCUGCCAAAUGGCUUUGAGAGAUAUGUAGUAGAGUAUAUUGAUUGAUGUUUUGAGAGAAGGAGGCUAUAUAAUUUAAUCACAAUGGACAAGCUCAUUUUACUUUUACUAUGGCAUAUGCUUAUGCUUGAUUUUUUAUUGCCAGAUGAGAAAGCACGAUAAGAAUCUGGGUGAUUUUUUGAAGGUUCAUGUGUCAGACAUGCCUCUUUUCAAUUUUUCUGACAAAAAGUAAGCUACUUAUUUGGAUUUAAUCUCAGAGAUGUACCUUCUUAUCA